ACACUGAGAGAAAUGAAACAAGCAAACAAAU
This 31-nucleotide small RNA is filed under the name Arabidopsis thaliana (thale cress). Its description in RNAcentral is "ATSL003440". The record is from RNAcentral. Lineage: Eukaryota; Viridiplantae; Streptophyta; Magnoliopsida; Brassicales; Brassicaceae.